Molecule: ribosomal RNA, 482 nt
Filed under: uncultured bacterium
Lineage: Bacteria
Description: partial 16S ribosomal RNA
Rfam family: Bacterial small subunit ribosomal RNA
Source: RNAcentral
AUUGAACGCUGGCGGCAUGCUUUACACAUGCAAGUCGAACGGAAACACGCCGCACGUUGCUGUCUAAUGUCGGCCGCGUGCGUAAUGCAUCCGAACGUGCCCAGUCCCUGUGGGUCACUACUCGCUAGAGUAGCUCAUACCUCAUACGAUCUAUGAAUUAAAACGGCGUACCGUAAUGCCUCGCGCGAUUUUAGCUGCCGCUGUCAGAUUAGGUAGUUGGUGGUGUCAAGGCUCACCAAGCCAACGAUUGGUAGCUGGUCUGAGAGGACGACCAGCCACACUGGGACUGAGACACGGCCCAGACUCCUACGGGAGGCAGCAGUGGGGAAUUUUGGACAAUGGGCGCAAGCCUGAGCCAGCAAGGCCGCGUGCAGGAAGAAGGCUUUCGGGUUGUAAACUGCUUUUGUACGGAACGAAACGGAUCUGGUUAAUACCCGGGGCUAAUGACGGUACCGGAAGAAGAAGCACCGGCUAACUACGUG